RNAcentral lists this ribosomal RNA (612 nucleotides) under Bacillus sp. 2-6. Its description in RNAcentral is "bacterial SSU rRNA". It matches the Rfam family "Bacterial small subunit ribosomal RNA", at positions 8 to 600 of the family's 1533-position model. Lineage: Bacteria; Bacillati; Bacillota; Bacilli; Caryophanales; Bacillaceae. The record is from RNAcentral.
AGAGUUUGAUCCUGGCUCAGGACGAACGCUGGCGGCGUGCCUAAUACAUGCAAGUCGUGCGGACCUUUUAAAAGCUUGCUUUUAAAAGGUUAGCGGCGGACGGGUGAGUAACACGUGGGCAACCUGCCUGUAAGACUGGGAUAACGCCGGGAAACCGGGGCUAAUACCGGAUCGUUUUUUCCUCCGCAUGGAGGAAAAAGGAAAGGCGGCUUCGGCUGCCACUUACAGAUGGGCCCGCGGCGCAUUAGCUAGUUGGCGGGGUAACGGCCCACCAAGGCAACGAUGCGUAGCCGACCUGAGAGGGUGAUCGGCCACAUUGGGACUGAGACACGGCCCAAACUCCUACGGGAGGCAGCAGUAGGGAAUCUUCCGCAAUGGACGAAAGUCUGACGGAGCAACGCUGCGUGAGUGAAGAAGGCCUUCGGGUCGUAAAACUCUGUUGCCGGGGAAGAACAAGUGCCGUUCGAACAGGGCGGCGCCUUGACGGUACCCGGCCAGAAAGCCACGGCUAACUACGUGCCAGCAGCCGCGGUAAUACGUAGGUGGCAAGCGUUGUCCGGAAUUAUUGGGCGUAAAGCGCGCGCAGGCGGCUUCUUAAGUCUGAUGUGAAAU